GCCCCGAGGGGAAAGUACCUGGCCACCAGCUGUGGAGAGAACAGGAUGAGAAGUUGAAACUGGGUAAGGAGAAACCAGGAUCCUAGAGUGAGUGAUGCUGAGAGGUUGUCUGGGAAGCACAAGGACAGGGUUCUGAAAGAAAGAGAAAAGGAAAAGACCCGAGAACCGCUUUUGAUGAAGAUUCCCCCAGAAUGAGUAAUCUCUAGGGUCGGUUCCCAGCCCAAGAUUGAUGGCACCACCACAUCUGUUGAAGGAUGUUUUCCUGUUAUCCGCUUGGACAGCGAUCAAAUGAAAUCCCACCGGGGUGUGAUGUUGAAAAGAAGACUUAAGUCAGACCCUCUAGGAGCCAACAUCUAGGAAGGAGGAGGAUGGAAUACUUUCCUUGCCUGCUUGCUGCCUGCCUCUGUAGAUUCCUCAAUAAAAGAGCACUGGGCCCUGACCACGUAGCUCAGUUGGUCAGAGCUUCACCUGGAUACACCAAGGUUGUGGAUUCCAUCCCACCAAUGAAUGCAUAAAUAAAUGGGAACAACAACUCCAUGUUUCUCAUCACUCUCUCUUACUUUCUUUCUCUCUCUCUCUCAUCAAAUUAAAAAAAUUAAAAAUAAAUAUAAAUAAAAAUAUUAAAAGAGCCCUGAGACCACUUUAGUUGCCUCCUAACUCAUUCAAUAGUCCACCUGGCAAACUCCUCCUACUUUCUCAAGACACCAGUAUCACCUCCUUCGCCAAGUCAGAAUUACACACUCUCCUUUUCAACAUUUUUUUUCCUUUACCUUAUGAAGUCGUCAUCACCCCAGUUACUGUUUACAUCUGUCUACCCCUCUAGACCAGAGCUCCUCAAUGACAAGGACUGUUUCAGAUAUACUUCUAUACCCUCAGACCCUAGCACGUAGUACAUACUCAAUAAAGAUCUUUGUUCCUAUUGUAUUAAAUAUAAUACAACUAACACUUUCUCAUGAUGCCAUCUUCAAUUAGAAUAGCCAACCAGUUACUUGAAGCCCUCAUAUUUAAAGACUUGGCUUAUAUGCUACUUAUUUGAAGGAGCCUUUUAGGAACUCCCACCCUACUUCUUAGUUGCUCUUGUAUAUUCCAUAUUAUACUCUGCCUUGUCCUUUUAGUUAGUUGAGGACUUUUUUGCACCCCCUACUACACCUUAAAAUCCUUGAGGACA
Long non-coding RNA from Phyllostomus discolor (pale spear-nosed bat), 1168 nucleotides. RefSeq lists it as uncharacterized. The record is from RefSeq and is a predicted model, not a curated record. The transcript is spliced from 3 exons. Lineage: Eukaryota; Metazoa; Chordata; Mammalia; Chiroptera; Phyllostomidae.